CUUUUUGGCCACAUCACCCUGCAACUCACAACUGGCAGCCCACUGAAGCUAAGCAGGUGUGAGCCUGGUCAGUACCUGGAUGGGAGACCUCCUGGGAAAAACUAAGGUUGCUGCUGGAA
This 119-nucleotide ribosomal RNA is filed under the name Lepisosteus oculatus (spotted gar). The record is from RNAcentral. Lineage: Eukaryota; Metazoa; Chordata; Actinopteri; Semionotiformes; Lepisosteidae.